AGUGAACGCUGGCGGUAGGCCUAACACAUGCAAGUCGAACGGUAGCACAGUAAGAGCUUGCUCUUACGGGUGGCGAGUGGCGGACGGGUGAGGAAUACAUCGGAAUCUACUUUUUCGUGGGGGAUAACGUAGGGAAACUUACGCUAAUACCGCAUACGACCUACGGGUGAAAGCAGGGGAUCUUCGGACCUUGCGCGAUUGAAUGAGCCGAUGUCGGAUUAGCUAGUUGGCGGGGUAAAGGCCCACCAAGGCGACGAUCCGUAGCUGGUCUGAGUGGAUGAUGAGCCACACUGGAACUGAGACACGGCCCAGACUCCUACGGGAGGCAGCGGUGGGGAAUAUUGGACAAUGGGCGCAAUCCUGAUCCAGCCAUACCGCGUGGGUGAAGAAGGCCUUCGGGUGGUAAAGCCCUUUUGUUGGGAAAGAAAAGCAGCAGGUUAGAACCCCGCUGUUGUGACGGUACCCAAAGAAUAAGCACCGGCUAACUUCGUG
This 492-nucleotide ribosomal RNA is filed under the name uncultured bacterium. Its description in RNAcentral is "partial 16S ribosomal RNA". It matches the Rfam family "Bacterial small subunit ribosomal RNA", at positions 29 to 507 of the family's 1533-position model. The record is from RNAcentral.